AUUGAACGCUGGCGGUAGGCCUAACACAUGCAAGUCGAGCGGCAGCACAGUACUUGCUUGCGGAUUCGGCGGCCGAGUGGCGGGCAAUGGCGAGGUACCUGCGAAUCUGCGGUGGAUAACGUGAGGACACAGGGGAACAUACGCCAAUCGUGCUGACGGCGAAAGUGGGGGAGCAUGGGAUCUUCCGACCUUACACGAGCGGAGGUCGGAUUAGCUAGUUGGUGGGGUAAAGGCCUACCAAGGCGACGAUCCGUAACUGGUCUGAGAGGAUGAGCAGUCACACUGGAACUGAGACACGGUCCAGACUCCUACGGGAGGCAGCAGUGGGGAAUAUUGGACAAUGGGCGAAAGCCUGAUCCAGCCAUGCCGCGUGUGUGAAGAAGGUCUUCGGGUUGUAAAGCCCUUUAGUUUGGAAAGAAGAGCAGCAGGUUAAUACCUCGCUGUUUUGACGGUACCAAAAGAAUAAGCACCGGCUAACUUCGUG
RNAcentral lists this ribosomal RNA (484 nucleotides) under uncultured bacterium. RNAcentral's name for it is "partial 16S ribosomal RNA". It matches the Rfam family "Bacterial small subunit ribosomal RNA", at positions 30 to 507 of the family's 1533-position model. The record is from RNAcentral.